UGUGGUUCAGUGGUAGAGCACAUGCUUAUCAUGCAUGAGGUCCUGGGUUCAAUCCCUCCA
RNAcentral lists this transfer RNA (60 nucleotides) under Camelus bactrianus (Bactrian camel). It matches the Rfam family "tRNA", at positions 6 to 65 of the family's 71-position model. Rfam says of the family: Transfer RNA (tRNA) molecules are approximately 80 nucleotides in length. The record is from Rfam by way of RNAcentral. Lineage: Eukaryota; Metazoa; Chordata; Mammalia; Artiodactyla; Camelidae. RNAcentral also lists the same sequence under 1 other name.